CCCCUAGACGUUCUGGGCUGCACGCGCGCUACAAUAAUACGCACAGCGAGUAUCACCGAGCUCGAAAGGGCAAGGUAAACAAUAGAAAAGGUACUGUAAUGGUUAUAGAUCCUUGUAAUUAUUGAUCUUCAACGAGGAAUUCCUAGUAAGUAUGUGUCAUCAUCACGCACUGAUUACGUCCCUGCCCUUUGUACACACCGCCCGUCGCUCCUACCGAUUGAGUGAGCCGAUGAAACUGCCGGAUGUGGACUAUUCAUAGUCUGCAGAAGAUAUUUGAAUCGUAGCGCUUAGAGGAAGGAGAAGCCGUAACA
RNAcentral lists this ribosomal RNA (311 nucleotides) under uncultured eukaryote. Its description in RNAcentral is "partial 18S ribosomal RNA". It matches the Rfam family "Eukaryotic small subunit ribosomal RNA", at positions 1470 to 1796 of the family's 1831-position model. The record is from RNAcentral.